Molecule: unclassified non-coding RNA, 631 nt
Filed under: Hevea brasiliensis (rubber tree)
Lineage: Eukaryota; Viridiplantae; Streptophyta; Magnoliopsida; Malpighiales; Euphorbiaceae
Source: RNAcentral
CAUAACCUCCACACCUGUAGGAUCAACUGACAGCAUUUCCCCAUCAUGGGACAUGUCGUCUUUUGCAGCAACUGCACCAGCCUCAUUUUCAAAGUCUGGUUCACUUUCACCUCCCUGGUUCACUUUUGAUGAAGAUUCAAGUGUGUUGAGAGCUUCACCCUCCAAAUGUGUUCUAGUCAAUUCAACAGCCACAUUGUCACUCCUAACACUAACUUCAUCGGUAGAACUACCAUUGACUGGUUGCUCCGUUUUCAACUUCUCAAAGCAAUCAAUAAUUUCAUGCACAGCACGAAUAAAAUCAGCACCUUUUCCACGACGCUUAACAAAAAGAGACUGUUUCUUAUCCUCAGUAAAUGCUUCGACAUCCACAGGAUUGCAGAAGGCUAUUUGUUGGGUCCCAAAAAAGUAAACUAACACUUUCUUCCGGUCUCUGGAAUAACCCCACUUCUCUGGCUCGCUCACCGUUGCAGGCCAAGCUGGAAACCCUUUAACCUUAGCAAGCACAAGAUCACCGACUUUCCACUGACGACAAGCUGCAGCAGCCGCCGCCGCUUUACUUGUACCUUUUCUUCGACUGGGCGCCAUAGAAGCUUAGAACUAAUCAAAGCAGCUAUGCACGCUCUACAAAUAG